This is a long non-coding RNA of Herpailurus yagouaroundi (jaguarundi), 8330 nucleotides long. RefSeq lists it as uncharacterized. The transcript is spliced from 5 exons. The record is from RefSeq and is a predicted model, not a curated record. NCBI's taxonomy places the organism in Eukaryota, Metazoa, Chordata, Mammalia, Carnivora, Felidae.
CAGUUGCAAGCUACGGGAAAAAAACAGGUAGUCUCUCACUUUGCUGAUGGAAAUGUAGACUGGAACAAUCUAAGGAAGGAAAUUUAGCAAUAUUUAUUAAAAUUCUAAAUGCUUAUGCCCCUUGACCCAGCAGCCCCAUUGUGGGAAUUUAUCCUGCAGCAUAGCUUGAACACAUUCAAAAUAAUGUAUUUUCAAGGUUGUUAAUUGCAGCAUUGUUUGUAAUAGCAUAUAAUAUUAGAAAUAAUUCAUGUCCAUCCAUCUAUAGAGUGAAAUUUUGUGUAGUUGUAUAUAUUAAAAAAAAAAGGAAUGAAGACAUUCUCUAUAUGCAGAUAUAGAAAGAUCUCCAAUUUGUACUGGUAAGUGAAAGGAAAAUGCAGAAAAAUGUUUGUACAAAGGAGGGUCACAGAAAUAUUCAUAUUUGAUUAUAUUUGCAUAUAAAAACUCUGGAAGAACACACAACCUAACAAUGGCAGUCACCUUUGAUAGUGGUAGGUAGAAACUAGACGGAGGGACAGGGAUAGAAGCAAGAUUCUUUAUCAAAUACAUUUUUUUGUUUCCUUAUUAAAUCAUUUGAAUGUGUUUUCUACUUUUGAAAAAUAAAAAUUUUUAAAAACAUUGCAAAAUACCUUAAAUUGUCCAUAAAGUACAGAACAUGAGGUUUCAUACAUAUGAUCCUAUUCCAUAAUGUUUAUGCAGACUAAGGUUUGAGAACAACUUGACUAAAAUAAGGAACAAAGUUUAAGUUGCUAUGGAGGUGUUAAGUAUUGAAAUCAUUCUCCUUUAACAUGCCUGCCAAACUCCUGGCUGGGAGUGGGUGAGAAUUCUAAAAAGCACCUGCUUGCCUGGAGGGAUUAGACUAAUCUAAUACUAAGCCUCCAGAACAAACCUGUUUGUUGUGAGAAUUAAAGGAAAUGAAGGAGUUCCCAUUUCAAUGCAGGUUCAAGUUUAUGGGUAAGUUAAAUAUGCAGAUGAUGGGACUCCAUGAUAUGGUUGGUGGUGAUAUUUUCUAAACUGUGCCAGGCCAGGGUACAUGAUCUGAAAAGUGCAGCUGUACCCAUUGAGACACUAGGAGGUCCUGUCUAACAUCUGUGCUGUCCUAGGGAAUUCUAGGAGUGAUGGUUAACAUCAUGUAUGGUUUUCAGAGUGAGGGAUGUGGAGGUGACCAAAGUCAGAAAUCUUGAAUUACACUACAUUGGUACUGCCUUUUAUUUAUCUCCCAAGAUGCAGUACAACACAAAUAACUCAUUGGGCCUACAAAAAAAGGAAAAAAAAACUGAGAAGAAAGAAACAUUGAGAAUGCAUUCCAAUCCACUUAUCACAUCAUUGAAGGGAAAGUGCACUUUGGAGGACAGGAACAUUUUUACAUGGAAACUCAAAGUGAAAGUGAAGUGGCAAAGGCAGAGGAUUAAAACAUGGACCUCUAUGUGUCAUGCCAGGAUGCAGCAUUUACACAGGUGGCCAGCCAUGAAUUAAAGAUACCAGUAUCUUCCAUAUACCUUGGAAUGAUGAAUACCAUGACAGUGCCCAGCACAAUUCCCAUGGCAGCCUCUACUAGUGCAGAUGCCAGUGGAAAAGCUGUGCAGUUCUAUUGGACAGCCCUGCUCUGGACAAUCCUACUGCAUCUUGACCUGAGAAAAAAAGAUAAGAGUCAGCCUCGCUGGCAGUUAGUUAGUGGCUGUAGGAGGCCAGGAAAGGAGAUCCACACUUUGGUUGCUUAAAAAAAGAGAAGAGAAGAGGGGAGAAGGGAGGGGAAGGGAGAAAAAAUAGCAAAGGAAGCAAUGUCUCCAUUGGUUUGGGCUGCUAUAACCAAGUACCAGAGGAGACUGGGUAAGCUUAAACAACAGACAUUUAUUUCGCACAGUUCUAGAGGGCUGAAAACCCCAAGAUCAAGGUGCCAGCAGGUCUUCUGUCAGGUGAAGGCUGCCUCCUGGUUCAUGGAGAGCUGUCUUCAUGCUGUCUUCACAUGGUGGAAGGGGUGAGGGAGCACUCUGGGUUCUCUUUUAUAAAAAAGCACAAAUCCCAUUUGUGUGGGCUCCACCCUCAUGGACUAUUGAGGGCCCCACCUUCCAAUACUAUUACCUUAAGAUUUAUGAUCUCAACAUAUAAAUUUGGGGGAGACACAUUCAGUCUCUAUAACAGUCUCUAAACCUCAUUCAUCCCUCAAUCCCUCAAGUUGCCCCCCCUCCCUGAAUCCUCCUAAUGACUCAGCCAGACUGACUGGCCCACAUCGGCCUCCCUGUUAUAUUUGUGUUCUGAACAACACCGUUUAAUAGUUUGGUUCAGCUCCACAAACAUAGUCUAUGUGCCCAAUCCAUGUGAAGUGCUGUGCUGGGGCAAGAGAGAACCAUCCAAAGGACGUAAGUCCUGGCCCCAAGAAGGCCACUAUCUGGUGGAAAAACAGAAACAGGCAAUGGCCAUACAAUCUUCCCAGUGCCAGGGACUACAUACUGAGGGAGCACCAAGGACUGAGAGAUGUUUGCUCACUCAGAGUGUUUCUAAUUCUCUCUUGUCCCCAGCUAGGUUACAAGCUUUAGAACCAGCAGCAUGUCUUAUUUCUUCUUCCUCCAUCACCGAGCUUCAAUACUCAGAAGAUGCUGACUGAAUGGAAAAGGUUUGAGUGACAUGGUAGCUUUAAAAUCAGAUGACUGGAUUCAAAUCCCAGCUCUGCCAGUUAAACCAGCUGUUAAGUUGGGCAAGUUUUUGACCUAUCUAUGCCUUAGAUUCCGCAUUUAUCAGACAGAGAAAGUAGGGUACCUACCUAGUAGAGCCCCUAUAUUAAGUGAGCUUAACUGUAAAAGUGUUUAACACAGGGCAGGGGCACAUGUUGACAACAAAAUGAAUGUUAACAAUGGUUAUUAUCAUGACCAUGAUGAUUACUGGCCAGCUAAUCCUUAUGUCUUCUGAUUCUUCUAGUCUACACUACCAUCAUGGAGAAGUGAGCAGGGGAAGAUGUUUGAAUGAGUCACGGUGGCAGAAAAAGCUGCCCGAAGUUUGGCAGGAUGUUAUAAACACUAACCAACCCAUUAUUCCAAUUUAGUGUCAGCAGAAACCCUUUAGCUACUAGGCGUGCUCAAACCUGACCUGGUUCAACAAUGAUCCAUCUUAAGAUGCAGGUGAAAAAACUUCAUACAGUUCUUGAUGCAUAAAGGUAUGUGGCAAUCAAUCAGUAAUUGUAUUGCAGUAGUUUUUGUGAUUUAAACUGCUAAACUCAUUCUUCAAGAUCUAAGGCAAAAGAGGGGAGCAGAAAGCAGGCUGAGAUGUAUAAAGCAUUCAUGUAUUUAUUGAACAAAGUUUUAGGGAGCAACUAAAAGUUGUGGCCAGGCAUUUAAGAAAUGGUGAAAUUAAGUCCCAGAUCCCACCUUGUGAAGCUUAUAAUUGAAUUGAAUUAUAUAUGGUCUUAUGAAAGCAACACAAGUUAAAAAGAUGCAGCCCAGAUGUAGUCCUGUAGAAGGUGAGGAGAAGAUGACAUCCCAGUUAAUGGUAAGAUCUAAACAAAGGGGCACAAAAGAAAAGCAAUCCCAGGUGGAUGAAAAUGCAGAAGCUAAGGAUGGAGGUCAGAAGAGAUCCAGAUAUUUAUCAGAACAUAGAUAAUUUUGUUUGGCUGGAGGUAGACAAGGGGAUAAAUCUGGAUAGAAAACUGGAAAACUAGCCUGGAUCAGAUCAUAGAUACUCUUAAAUAUAAGUUAACAAGUUCAAGUUUUAUUCUGUCCACAGUGAAGACUUCUGAUGGUUUUUAUCAAAGAAAUUACAUAAUCAGGGAGAUUUACUCUGGUGGAAGGUAUAGCAUGAAUUAACAUGAGAGAUAACAGUUGGAAAGCUACUGAUGGGGUCCAGAGCAGGCUGCCCCAAAAUGUGCCACUCUGACCCUUCUCUGUACACCUCAAAGCAGGAAAUAAAUUUUUCUUAUGAAGGGUGCACUUUCUACACCUGGAGAGUAGAAGGCAUCUUUAUCACCAGAGAGAGAGAAUUCAGGACUGAGAAAAUUGUAUAAACAAACCUUGUUACUUCAUUAAUUUGCUACCCGAAGUCCAAACUUUUGUCUUGUUAACUCUUCAUAAAUUUCUUCUAAAAGGUAUAAAAAGCUGCUGACUUUGGUCACUUCUUUGAAUCCAAUAUUUCUAUGAGCUCCCAUACAUGCAAAAUUAAAAUCUUUUUCUCCUGUUAAUCUGUCUUGUUUAAUUAUUUGACCAGCCAAAGAACCUAGCAGGAAAAAAGGGAAGUUUUCCUCCCCUACACUGCUGUAAUAGUCCAGAGGUGACAAAGGCUUGAGCACCCACAGUGCUGGCAGGAAUAGAAAGAGAUUCAAGCAACAGCCCCUGCCCUCUGACAGGGCGGGGUAGACACGGCAGAAGUCAAAGGUAAGUCUAAGUUUGUACUCAGGUGACUGGGGGAAAGUGGUAACCUUACCAGAAACAGCAACACAGGAGGAGGAGCCUGCUUUCAAAGGAAAGGUGAAUUUGAUUUUAGAUUUAUAGCCUGGUUGUCAGCCAAGGGAUUUACCCAACAGACAGUUAAUUCAGGAUUGGCAAGAGGUCUGGGCUGCAGACAGAUUUAGGAGUCAUGCGUGUAAUUAGUAAUCAGAGCCAUGAGACUGGAUAAAACUCACCAGAGUGUGAAACUGCAGAGAGGGAAUUAAAAGGAAAAUGUAGAAGGGGAGGAGAGAGAUGGAAAGAGAAGAAAAUAAGAAGGAAGGAGAAAGGAAGGAAUGAGUCAAGGACAGCUCAGGGAAGGAGUAGGGGCUGAGGGUAGGAGUAGGGGCAGGAAGCACUAACCGCCUUGAAACUAAGGGUGGAGUGAUGCGGCUCUGUGCACACAGUCAUAGCAGGAGCACCCCCUCAGACACAGCCCAGCUUGCCAGAGGGAAGCGGUUACCAUUAGCAAGAUUCUAAAGGCCCUGAGAAGUCCCUUACUUUAUGCCCCCCCACCCCACUCCCAUACACACCUACUUUAAAACCCUUUCCUCUAUUGGCCUGAAACCACACAAUCAUAUUAACCCUGGCUUGGAUGAAGACGCUCCAAAGCCUCUUGUUAAUGUGCCCCCAAAUCUAGGGGUGCUCAGUGGCCGGAUGGAGCCUGGAGUCCUCUUGGCUCUCGCUGUCCCUUGCUCUUACCACACCCGUAAGGCUACCACAAUGGCAACUGGCCAUUCUGACCCAGGUUCUCCUGGUGCCCAAACACCCCACCUCACCCAUCAGUCGGAGCCCGCCAAGGCGGGGCGCCUAGUGCCCAGGCGGGAUCAAUGCGUGCCCAGAAACAUUUCUGCUCAGUUCAACUGACACUUGUCGCUGCCACGAGGAUCCACGAACAGUCUGCUCUUUCGGAGAAAGUCCAAGGGAACGCAGUCCGUCCCUCCCACCACACCAGCUUGGGGAGGAGGAUCCUUGAGGCUAGGACACCGACCCCAUGUGGGGAGGGGAGGCAAUCAAGCAUGUGGAGGCCCAUGUGCACCCACAUGCACAGGUGCCCUACGCAGAAACCAUGGCUGUUGGGCACACACGGCCAGCGCCAUUGACCUGACCGGGUGGCGCCGCCUCCCCUACUUGCUAUGCCAGCUCUGGGCCAAGCAGUGGCCCGCUCUCAGGGACCAGACUGGGUGGUGGUGAGGCCCAGUGGCGGCCACUCCUCGGAGCUGCCCCCAGGACAUCCUUGUGAAGAGCACCCCUGACCUGUCUUUGAGGUCUGUCACCGCAAGGAGAAAAGGGUGGCAUUUAUCCUUGUGCAAAGAGAGUUUAAGUUAAAUAUGUUCAGGCCAUUCGGACUGUUUUCUACAGUACAUUCAGUAUCUCUUGGGAAGCAUCUUGGUAGGAAACAGAAACUGAAAAUUGUACAUGACAGGAGCCAAGGAAUACAUUGCAUAAAGAAAAGUGCCUCAAAUAGCUUCAGAUGUUUCUUGAACCCCUUUGUUGAACUUUCAGAAACUCAGAGUAAAUAUUAUGCAAUUCAUUUGUGUUUUAAUGAUGCAAAUGCCAACGAAUGUAUAUUCUUUCAAGAAAUGGAUUUUUCUUCAUCUAGUGCCUGCUCAAUGCAGGUAAAAGGAGUUUAAUUGAAACAGAUACCCGGUUUCCCAAGUGUAGGAAAGGUGUAUCUCCUUCCUUGAGACUGAGCAAGGAGAAAACCUUGGCAGUGUUCAUUUGAGGAUCUUCUCACCAGCAGCCUGGCCUCCCUGAGAAUACUGGACAAAGUAUUUCACUAUUGCAGAAGGGCUGUCCUAAUUUCCGGUGUAUUCGUUUGGUAUGCUCUGUACAGAACAAGGUGGUGGGCUGGACCUAGGAAAUCAAUAAAGAAGAACCUGGAAGGAAUAGCCUGAAGAGCUGGAGCUGCCCAGGAAGAAUGCAGGUGCCCUCACCACUGCAGUCAUGGAGUGUGGUCCUGCAGAGAGAAUGAAGCUACCAAAGAGAACACAAAUACAGGAUGCUCAGAUUAAACAAAACCACAGCAUCAAGAAAUCUUUUUCAUUAGAAAGUUAAAGAGACAUCCAGAAAGCUGCAAAGCAAAUUGGAGAGAUGCCAAGACUUCAGUAGAAAUCACUGAUAGAGAUUUCAUACUUAAUGACUUUUCUUUGAGCAAGUGCAAAAGCAAAAAGCAAAAGAACUGUGGUGAACACUGUGAGCCGUUAAGUAUAGUAGGAUGUAUGGUAGGACUCAUAGCAGGACAAAAACAACAUAGGUCAUACAGAAGAGGGUCUGGAAAAAAUACAGAUUAUUCUCAGCCACACUGCAUAGGCUUAUCAUUAGAAGGAAGAACAAGAAAUCAAUAGCAGACCCACUCUAAAAUCUUAACUAUAAAGAUCUCAUUAUAGUAUGGAUUUAGUCAUUCAUUAAAAAAAAAUCUUUAUAAUGUCAUAGCUGAACAAGGCGUGGUGCUAGACAUUGGAGACAUAUAGUUAACAAGACAAAUAUAGACCCUGCCCACAUAGAGUUUAUGAUCCAAUGGAAGAGUUGACAUUAAGUAAACACACAAAUGUCAUCUCAGUCUUUGAUAAGUGCUCCAAAGGAAUACAAAGUGGUCAGUGAAGAUAUUGAGGGCUUUUAGAUUUGAGGGUCAGACAGUUUUCUGAGAGAGCAACAGUAAUGACAUUCCUUAAAGGAUAAGGAGGCAUUACUGGGGAAAGAACAGCAGCUGAUGGUGCUGGGGAAUAGCACACUUGAAGGCUCUGGGGUGGAAAAUGAGGGGUGUGGUCCAAGAGCUGGGAUGUCUUUGCAAGGAGCAUCGUCAGUGGGAUGGAGAGUCUACAUGGGGCAAGGCCAGACCCCCAGACUGUGUGGGCCAUAUUAGCAUCUUGUUUUUUCCCCCCAAAUACAGGGCAAGUCACUGAAGGGCUUUAGGCACACACAAUUGACAUUGAUGUAUUUAUGUUUAUGUUUUAAUGGGUCAAUCCAGUUGCAUUGUGGAACACAAGUUUGAGGGACUUGAAUGGAAAAGGGAAGUCCAUUUGGGAAGUGUUUGACCUGGUCAUUAGAGUAAAGGCUGUGGUGGGCACAACCAAAUAUAAAGAGUCCUGUAUCAGGCCCUAGAAGUCUCAUAUCUCUCUAGGUGCUCUGUAUGCUACAACGUGGCCCCCAAAUCAUAGGAGCCCAUAUGAAGUAGAAAUCCUCAAGCAGUAAAACUUUUAUUUGGAUUAAAUUUAGCCAAAUGAAAAGAUGUCAAGAAUAACAGAAGUUUGUGAAAAGAAUGGGUUUGUGAAAAGAAUGAGUUUGACCCACUGAAAUAAGCAGCUGGGAAUGUGAGCUGUGAAAUGAUUGUGCUGAUGUGCUGGCAUUUGAAGAGUUUGCCUGGAUGCAAGACAAUUGAGCAAUAGAGGAGUUAGAUGAAGAUCAAAUUACUGUACAGAUUUUAUUAAAAGCAAAGUUGGAGAUUUGGCUUAGGUCUAUUGGCAAGUAGAGUUGCAAAUGUUUCAGCCCUGAAUUUAGCCAUUCCCAAUAGAUUGUAGUAGGCUGUGUGAUUGCAGGAGGCAAUACAGGAUGGAGUCUGUUUUGAGGGUUUUUGUUUUUGUUGGUUCCUUCCUCUGUAAAUAUUGAAAAUUGUAUUUUACAAUGGUACUGGAACAAACAUACAACCCAACCUCAUUUAUAUUCAUUUUUUUCUUCUGAUUUUAAAAGAAAAACAUUUUCAUGGACCCCUAAACUGGGAGGGAUAUGCCAGCAGCCCACCAGAUGUCAGAAUUCAGGAAUUGCAGGUAGAUGGGUCCUGAGAUAGAGGAGGGGGACUUAAGCUGGGAAGUGCCAAUAACAGAUACUGUCACUCUCACAGGGUCCACCCAAUGGAACCUGACUGUUUGUCCCUCCAACAAAGUAUACUAGGAUCCAAAUAAAUGUUCUGGUUCUGGGUGA